CGUCAGGGAAGCUGCAGGAAAGUUACCCUGGCAUGCAAAAAGAAGUGGAGAUGAACAAGCCCACAUGAACUAUGCUCCUCCUGCUUGGGGCUGCUUCCUGUGAAGAGUGUGGCUGCACUGCUGCAAACCAUCCCUUCCCUGCCACACUGGCACAGGUGGCUGUUGCCACCUACGACAGCCCAGACUUUGCCAUCUCCUUGUGAAGCAUGAAUAAGCAGACCUCCAGCCUGAUGCAUCAGAUUCCUCUUCCCGUGGCUCUCCAUCUUCCAUGUUGUUCAUGCGACUGUCUUCUAAGCCUCCUCAGGGACCAAGAUGGAUUUCCAGCCUGGAUGUUUUGGUGGGGAUUCUACCCAGUGAUCGGGGAAGAACCACAUGCCCUUCCAACCUUGCAUCAGCAAUCCCAUGAGGCUCCCCAAUGA
Molecule: long non-coding RNA, 419 nt
Organism: Saimiri boliviensis boliviensis (Bolivian squirrel monkey)
Lineage: Eukaryota; Metazoa; Chordata; Mammalia; Primates; Cebidae
Source: Ensembl